UUAAAUUGAAGAGUUUGAUCAUGGCUCAGAUUGAACGCUGGCGGCAGGCCUAACACAUGCAAGUCGAACGGUAACAGGAAGCAGGUUGCUG
Molecule: ribosomal RNA, 91 nt
Filed under: Salmonella enterica subsp. enterica serovar Enteritidis
Lineage: Bacteria; Pseudomonadati; Pseudomonadota; Gammaproteobacteria; Enterobacterales; Enterobacteriaceae
Description: partial 16S ribosomal RNA
Rfam family: Bacterial small subunit ribosomal RNA
Source: RNAcentral